ACGCACGCUGGCGGCGUGCUUCACCCCUGCCCGUCGAACGGAAAGGCCCUGCUUUUGUGGGGUGCUCGAGUGGCGAACGGGUGAGUAACACGUGAGUAACCUGCCCUUGACUUUGGGAUAACUUCAGGAAACUGGGGCUAAUACCGGAUAGGAGCUCCUGCUGCAUGGUGGGGGUUGGAAAGUUUCGGCGGUUGGGGAUGGACUCGCGGCUUAUCAGCUUGUUGGUGGGGUAGUGGCUUACCAAGGCUUUGACGGGUAGCCGGCCUGAGAGGGUGACCGGCCACAUUGGGACUGAGAUACGGCCCAGACUCCUACGGGAGGCAGCAGUGGGGAAUAUUGCACAAUGGGCGGAAGCCUGAUGCAGCAACGCCGCGUGCGGGAUGACGGCCUUCGGGUUGUAAACCGCUUUCGCCUGUGACGAAGCGUGAGUGACGGUAAUGGGUAAAGAAGCACCGGCUAACUACGUG
RNAcentral lists this ribosomal RNA (467 nucleotides) under uncultured bacterium. Its description in RNAcentral is "partial 16S ribosomal RNA". It matches the Rfam family "Bacterial small subunit ribosomal RNA", at positions 29 to 507 of the family's 1533-position model. The record is from RNAcentral.